AUCCUGCCGCCGCCCGGAUUCCGCACACACUCACCCGUACACGGCAGGAGCGGGGGACCCACAGGCAGUACCGCCUGUUCCGGUCUCCGGAACAGGCUAGGGGUUAAGCCGUACUUCGGUACGACCGGGCAUCUCCAGUCCGAACCCGACAGCUCACCUCGUAGGCGCCGGAGAGGAAUU
This 180-nucleotide small RNA is filed under the name Streptomyces lincolnensis. Its description in RNAcentral is "c-di-AMP sequence". The stretch from base 22 to 180 matches the Rfam family "c-di-AMP riboswitch aptamer (ydaO/yuaA leader)". From Rfam's summary of the family: This family represents a conserved RNA structure found upstream of the ydaO and yuaA genes in Bacillus subtilis and related genes in other bacteria. The ydaO/yuaA element is thought to act as a genetic "off" switch for the ydaO and yuaA genes in its native state. It is believed that the element may be triggered during osmotic shock leading to activation of ydaO, a predicted amino acid transporter gene, and members of the yuaA-yubG operon which code for KtrA and KtrB K+ transporters. The record is from RNAcentral. Lineage: Bacteria; Bacillati; Actinomycetota; Actinomycetes; Kitasatosporales; Streptomycetaceae.